RNAcentral lists this ribosomal RNA (460 nucleotides) under uncultured bacterium. RNAcentral's name for it is "bacterial SSU rRNA". It matches the Rfam family "Bacterial small subunit ribosomal RNA", at positions 34 to 507 of the family's 1533-position model. The record is from RNAcentral.
CGCUGGCGGCGUGCCUAACACAUGCAAGUCGAACGAGGUCCAAGGAAGCUUGCUUCCUGAAGACCUAGUGGCGAACGGGUGAGUAACACGUGAGAAACCUGCCUCGGAGUGGGGAAUAACUCGGGGAAACUCGAGCUAAUACCGCGUACCUUCACAUGAUCGCAUGGUCGAGUGAAGAAAGAAUUUCGCUCUGAGAGGGUCUCGCGGCCUAUCAGCUUGUUGGUGGGGUAACGGCCUACCAAGGCAACACGGGUAGCUGGUUUGAGAGAACGAUCAGCCACACUGGGACUGAGACACGGCCCAGACUCCUACGGGAGGCAGCAGUGGGGAAUCUUGCGCAAUGGGCGAAAGCCUGACGCAGCAACGCCGCGUGCGGGAUGACGGCCUUCGUGGUUGUAAACCGCUUUCAGCAGGGACGAAAAUGACGGUACCUGCAGAAGAAGCCCCGGCUAACUACGUG